Long non-coding RNA from Tympanuchus pallidicinctus (lesser prairie-chicken), 12221 nucleotides. RefSeq lists it as uncharacterized. The transcript is spliced from 4 exons. The record is from RefSeq and is a predicted model, not a curated record. NCBI's taxonomy places the organism in Eukaryota, Metazoa, Chordata, Aves, Galliformes, Phasianidae.
CGCCUAUAGCCUCUCUUUAGCCAAUCAGAAGCGGAGACAGAAAAGGGCGGCUUUCAAACCCCGCCCCAGCCUAUAAGUGGAGCUAUUGCGGAGCCCGCCUUCUUUCUCCAUCCAAUAGGCGAGGGAGAAAGGUUCCGACGUUACUACCCCCUUCGCUUCCCUUGUCACGGACGUAGAAGGAAGGCUGCCUGGUAGUACCCUGCGGUUACCCUCUGCGGCGGAAAAGCGCGGCUGGAGGCGGGAAUGGCUCGUCCGACGGUAGCGAAGCACGCAUGGUGGGCCGCCACGAGGGUGUGCGUAGUGGGCCGCCUGGGUCCGGGUGGGCGGUACUCGGCGGGUUCGCCCCAUAGCAGCUCUCAUCCUCUGGAGCUGAACGUCUUCAGCGUUCUUCAUAUGGGCUGUGCUUCUGAAUGAGAGCGUCUCCUACAGCCUCUGCAUGUUCUGUGUCACUGUAGAGGAGUUCCAGCUGCUCACUGGUGAGGUUGGUCCUGAAUGAAUUAAUAAAGCUUUACUUGAUCUGAGACUGACCUACUUAAGUGACGUUUACCCCAACUGCGAUGGUGACAGCCCAAUUUCUAGUGCUCUGUGUUUUAAUUUUUUAGAAGAGGUGGGAUAACGGCCUUGUGUGUCUUUUAGUAAGAAGGAAAUGCAGGUUCUAAUGACUGUAAGCGUGCUAAAGAAGUCCCUGGUUUGGGAGGAGACUUUUGUGUGACAUACUUGUUGAGCAGAGAAGAACUGGGCAGGAGCAUUGCAUGUGUCCUGGAAAGCUGAUUGAUUGAGUCUGACAGCUUGUACCAUACUGCUGAUUCUACCGGGAGCGUGGCACAGGCAUCUGCAUAAGCUGCGUGAAAUUUAUUUACACGCACAGUUAGCUAUUAACUGUGUUGUCUGUGUAUCUGUCAGUUUUCUGUGUCCAAACUAAGGACUCUACUGCUGAUAUUUGAGAAAAAAUUAAAAAAAAAAAAAAAAUCAAACAGAGCUCUUAAUUGUUUCCCACCAACUUUCACUUUUCCACAGGUAACAUCUUCCUUUUCCUAAUUCCUUUUCAACUGUUGGUCAUGGCCUUCCCUCCUUAGUCUGGGUAUUUAAGCAGUAUCUGAAUUUUGUUGAUUUCUUUCCAGCCGCACUUUAUGUUCCCAACUAAGCUCUCAAAAUGCAGUUUUUUCCCUUAUUGAGUUUGACAACCAUUCCUACACUUCUCUAAGUUCCACUGAAAUUGUUCAGGAAAGACAUCCCUUCUCCUGUGUUGCUCUGUUGUCUGAAAGACCGAGGUUGACUGGGACCCUUGGAGGUUACCUGAUCACUCUACUGAGGCAAGGGCCACCAAGAGUGGGUACACUAGGUAUCCAAGUGGCUUUUGAAGAUCUCCAAAAUGGAGACCCCACUGUAUCUCUGCCUGUGCUCCAUCACUCCCACAUCUCAGAAGUGCUUUCCAGUGUUCAGAGGGAACCUCUUGUGCUCCAGUUUGUGCCAGUUCCCUCUGAUCAUGGCACUGGGCACCAUUGAGAAGAGUCUGGCUCCAUUUUCUCUGUACCUUCUUCUCAGGUGUUUAUAUACAGUAAUGAGAUCCUUCUGAGCCUUUUCUUUACUAGCCUGAACAGUCCCAGCUCUCUGACUCUCUCAUCAUGUGUGAGAUGCUUCUUAGUCAUAGUGCUCAGUGGUCCUUUGCUGGACUCUCUUCACUAGCUCAAUUUCUCUCUUGUUACUGACGCUGUUGAGAAGCUGACUGUUGGGGAUGUUGAGAGAUGGCAGCUCUCAGUGCCUGCCUGUUUCUCAAGCAUGUUUGUACUGGGUGUUGAAUAUAGAAAAAGAUUUCUGUAAGUGUCCCAAAGCUCACAAGACUUUUUUUUUUUCAAACCUGUGCUGUACAUCUAUUGAAAACUGACUCUAAAAACUGAGCUAACAUUGUAAUAGGCAUUUGAACAAGGAACUCUGGGCUAGUGGUGUGUUUAAGUAUCAGAAGAAUAAACAAAUAGUAUCCUUUAACCAGGGAUGUCACAAAAUCAGCAGACCAUGAGAAAGAUGUUAAUCAGGAUGGUUUGAGGAUGUUGCCAACUUGGCAAGAAAACUCAAGGUCUGUGUAUGCUCAGCUGAACUACCUUCAUUAUAAUGUUAAAAGUCACACUCAUAGAUUGAAAAGACCCCUGCCCAGGUGCAUGCAUAGUAGAGGAAGUAUACAGUCAACAAUAUUAUUAUUAUAUAAAAAUUACUAACCAGUCAUCACAAAGAGGAUGGGCUGGAAAAAUUAUUAGCUUUGCGAGUUUUGUGUAUAACUGUAGUGGUGGUAGUUCUGUUUGGUGUGUUUGAUUUGUGGGAAACCAUCCAGCAUCUAGACUUGCACAAAUCUGGAAUAAAUAAAGAAUGUCUCUCCUGAAUAUGUGAUUACUGACCUCGCACAUCAGGCUGUUAAUCUGUUUUUUGAACAACACCUCUACUUCCCUUUUGACAGCACUAGGGCUUCUGUCCCAGUGGUCUUUUUAGUCUUGUACUGUACCUAUCCAUCUGCUUCUGUCUUGAGAGGGAGCACUUCAGACCUGCACACUCUCACAAUUACUGCUGCAAUGCAAUUAAGGCCUGUUGCAUUUGCAAGCAAUGAGCAUGAAUUUUGCUAGUAAUAAUCUCUUCCACUCAUGCUGUUUUUAAGAUAGCCCUUGUCAGCAUAAGAAAUGUUCUAUCUCCAACACUCCCCAUAUUGGUAUAAAUUGAGUUAUUUUGCACAGCUUUCCAACUUUACGUUUUUUGUCUUCUGAAUGUAGCCUCAAGUUUCCUGUUUCACAGGCACUCAGCAGCCUGAUUGCAACAUCUUGUCAUGCACUCUUUGCUUUGCUGUGUGGGAAAGCAGAUUGGAGACUUCUUCAGCAGAAGCAAGUAUGGAAAUAAUCUUUAUUGUCAAAUUCUCCCCUACUACUUCUCAAAAAGACAAAACUAGACAGGAAAGGAGAGGUAAGGAAGCUGGGUUUUCCUUCUAGCAAAAGUGAGAUCUAAUGAAAACAUUAAAGCGGAUGAGUCAGUGACCUGGUGAAUGUUCCCCUCCCUCCCUUCCUACUUUCACUACUCCUCUCCCUUCAUUCUGCACUCUGUCAAGCCCUUUUCAGUGUCUACUAUUGAGCAUUUAAUCCCCUUUCUUCAGAAGAGGCUUGCACUUUUCAAGUUGUCAGCAGCAGUAAGAAAUUGUCAUCAAUAACUCUUCGAAUGGCAGAUGAGAUGUGAGUAAGUAAUAAAUUAGAGGCAUUUACUAAUUAGAAAUCAGAGACAGAAGAGGUCUAUGAGAUCGUCUAGUCUUUCUCUGUUGUGUGUCUGUGUAAUUCUUCUGAUAAGCUUCUUCCUGCGUUGUCUCUCUUCUAGUUUUACAUACUUCCCAAUAAGCAAUUUUCCAGCUUGAAACAGUCCUGUAGGAUAGUUUAUUAUCAGGAAGAUUUUGUUAGUGCUUUCCUUACAUUUCUGCUCCAUUCUCUCUGUUUAGGCCUAGCAAAUGUCACACUGAACAAUUUCUCUUAGUUGAGAAAUCUCACCUUGGAAGAGUGAGAUAUUUUGCAUUGAUGGUCAUUUUUUUAUAAACGUUUCCUUCUCCUGAGCUGAUUGCUUUUCCUGUAAAUGUUUAUGUGUUUAAGCAAACUACUAGCUGACCUUAGCUAUUUUUUCAGAGCUGUUACAGCAAAGAGGACUCUUUGGGAUAGUAGAUGUCUGUGCCCUGCUCAGAAUAUUUGUGGUUGUAAUAAUAUGUGGUUGGCACAGAACCCCCAGAGUUUGUAUCCAACAAUCUCACUCCAUUGACUUGGGAGGCAAUCUUGUGUUUGCAGAUGCUUUCAUCAGAAAACACAUCUUCAAAUGCAUCAGAAAAUGCAGGGGCAUCAUUUAAUUCUCCACUGUUUGUGUUCAUCCCAAUCCUGCUAUUCCCAUCCCUGCUGAGAUGGGAAUUUCAGGAUGCUGCGUUGGGAUGUUUGCAGUUUUCCUUUUAAUACUCCUCCUAUCCAAAUUGCUUAGGCAUUUUUUUGUGUGUGUGUGUGUGUUAAAAUCAAAAGCCUGAAAGAGCUGAUAUUUUAACAGAAUUUCUAUGCCUAUUAUUUAUUUCUCAGCUCUCUUCUGCAUGCAGGAAAUCCCUAAGGAGAGCAGUUUAAGUAACUUUCUUUAGAAGACCUUUGUUUUCAAAACAUGCUCCACUCCUCCAUCUCCCUGCCCCUAUCACUUUUGAGAGAUGUGCUCUCAGGUUUUUAUUUCUGUUUUCAAAUGCACUAAAUCAUCUCUGUGACCAGUAUCAUAGGUGUAUCACAGGUACAUAGAUCAGUCCUUUGGUCAACCAGCUGGUAUUUUCUCACAUGGGCUCUCCAAAAAUGAGUAGCUAUACUAGCUGUGUCCUUUCUGGCUGUUGGAAAGCCUGAAAUAUUCUACACUACACCAAAAUACAAGUCCUGUGGUCACUUAAAACAGUGUUAGACUGUGUGACAUGCUUGUAGUAACAGCGAGUUACCAGGUUUGUGCCAUAUGACGGGGUUCUUGUUUCUCCCAUCCUCUACUCUCCCUGGUUUCACAUAGAUACAUUGCCCCCAUACUGACACAGGUACCAGCUGAGGGAAUUUAUCUGGGACAGUGCAAUGACAUUCUUAGGAUGGUCCUAGAAGACUUGAAUUAUAAAAUGCUAGCAACUUUCAGUUUUUUAACCAAAUCUAAACUCCCCGACCUAAAUAUAGUGGGUUAUAAUGCUUGCAGAUGAAUGCUGUUAUAUCACAGUAAUCAUAUCUGAGCUCUGAUAGAACUAAAUGGGAUAUAUAUGUAUAUAUAUAUAUAUUUUUUUUUUGUACUAGCAAGCUAUAAUAUUGGAUAUUUACAUUAAAUAUCCACCAGGAAACCUCUCCUUAUGCUUUGGGAAUCUGUUCUACAGUUCCCCAAAUGACAAUGUGCAAAUAUGUCUAGGUGCUCCACUCAGAUACCCUUCCUCUUUUCAAGCUCAUCUCAUAGGUACUUUGCUCUCAGUUUUCUACAAGGGCUUCUUCAUAUGGUACUCCCAACGGCUGAGAACCAAGAAGAAACUCGUGAACCUGUCUUAGGAAGAGGGAAUGCAAGUAAUAAUAGUCUUGAUUUAAGAAUUUUUUUAUUUCACUUCCCUGAGUUGAUCAUUGCAGCUCAAGCGAGGCUCAAAUUAAGGUUGAACACUUCAGUAUAAAUUUGCCUCCUUCACUUUCUUUUUUUUCCUCCACAAAAUUAUUUAAUGGUAUAGUUUUUUUUGUUUUGUUUUAAAAACUGAAGAGAACUCUCCCACUGCUCUGGUUUGUAGAGGUGCUCUGAGAUUUUUAGUGCUAAUCUGCUGAAUAAGUUUUUUUUCUUUUUUUCUGUAGUUGCUUUGAAACAAUAGAGAGUGAACUGCUCUACUUCUUGCCAGUAGGUACCAGCUCAGAUGGCAUUUAAGAAUUAACUGUUUUACUGACAUUCCUAUAGCCUUCUCCUGGGAGCAGUUUCCCCUAAAAGCAGGAGCCUGAAGAAUGCAAGAGAUGCCUACUUUCAGAGGCAACAGGAGAAUAAAAACACAGUUAUAAAAUUGCCCAGAGAAGUUGUAAAGUUUCUCUUCUUGGAGGUCUUCAAAAGCUGCCUGGGUUUGGUCCUAGGAAAACUGCUUUGGAUGUCCCUGCUUGAGCAAGGUUUGGACCAGAUGGACUCACACCUUUACCUGUCUUGGAUUCUGUGAUCUGCAGAGAACCUCUACACCGCCUUUAAGUACAGUUGAUUCUAUUCACUUGAGGCUUAAUUUGAUUAUUUGAUUGAUUAAAAGUAUGUCACCAGAGAUGCAAAGGUGACUUUACAAGAGCAAGCAGACACAGAGAACAGCUACAGAGUUCAAGUUCUUCGGUUCUCCCACUGUUCUCCCAUGUGCAAAGAGAAGCGCCUGAGAUUUCAUGAGUUCUACUGGAGACUUUGCACUUCCAAGAGGAUCUGCUCCAUGAUCUUCCCAAGCACAGAGCACCCUAGGAUGGAUAUCGUCUGCCCCCAUGGACUUACAAACAUUCAGUUUCAUGAGGUUUUGGACGUGUUCCACUGUUACAGUGGGAUGGAAUCCUCUCCCCACACCUUCACCUAAAGGUUCAGGACCCUGGCAGACAUGGGAAACCUGACCACCAGCGAAGACUGAGGCAAAGCAGUCAUUGAGUAGCUCAGCUUUUUCUAUGUCUGAGGAAGCCAGCUCUCCAUUGCCUUUAAUCAGAGGCGGGAUUUGCUUUUAGACUGGGAAAUGUUACUUCAGUGGAAGAGUGUUUUCAAGCAAUAAACUACACUGCACAACAGCAUAACCUCACUAACACAGACAUGUAUUAUAAUCAUACAAGCAGUGCUUCCUUUAAUCACAUCUGCAUGAUUCUCCCUUGGGGAUGGUUCUUUCUUUGUGGAACAGAGUAACAUAUUCAUACUUAUCUGUAAAUACCACUGCUACAUAUCAAUGAAGGGGAAGAAGCUGAAUUUUUUUUUUAGAUGAAGUCUGUGAAAUGUAGAAUGCACUGGAACAAAAAAAUUGCUAAGGAAAUAAAAGCACUAUACUUAUUAUAUAGGAAAGGUGUGUAGCAUAACAUAGAAGGGAAACAUUGUAAGUAGCUCAGAGAGAUAGAUGAUUUCGGUCCUGUAACAGAACAAACAUGGAGGACGGCUCCAAGGACUGCCUUUUAAGGCAGAUAGUAAGACCCAGUAAUUGUGGAAGUGCCAAUCAUGGAAAGGAUUGGCAGGAGCAUAUAGAGAGGAUCCAGAUGAGGGAGCUUAGGUAAUGGUAGCUAUUAUUAGGAUUCAGUAUCCAGACUGGAAUGAUUUACUUUGUUGACAUAUCAGAAAAGAAAUUUUGGCAAAUGCGAAGGAAGAAGCAGAAAGAACCCCUGCUCACUGAGACAGCUGUAAACAUACCACACUAAGAACCAUAGCUCUUCCCUCCCAUAAUCAUACCUAAUGGUAAUCAUGUUGAAAUGCCUUUGUGUGAGGGACUGACUGUAAUGAUAAUGUUAACCACUUGUAGUGUGUGAAAGCAGCAGUACUUGCAACCUCACUAAUAGAUGUACUUGUGAUGAGCACCUGUAACCACAAACAGCUCAGCACUUUGGCGUGUGUGCUUGCCAAAACCAUUAAUAUUACUUCGCAAGCUAGUGGUUCCGUUGAGCAUUGCCUGUUAGUAGCACAAGAACUUAGUUGAUUAGUUUCUGCAUGGAAAAGUUACCUGUGCAUUUAGCAACUCAGAUGACUCCUUACAAGCUGUGAAGGAGCAUAAACCUUCAAAUCUGAAGAACGUGGGGUUACUGGUGGAUGGGGGAAGCUAAAUCUAAGCCAGCAAUGUGCCCCCACUUUGCCCAGGAAGCCAACAAUAUCCUGGGCUGCAUCAAAAGAAGCGUGGCCAGUAGGUUGAGGGAGGUGAUCCUCCUCCUGUAUUCACCAUGUGCUGGUGAGGCCUCAUCUGGAGUACUGCAUCCAGAUGUGGAGUCCUCAGGAGAGACAUAGACCCAUCGGAGCAUGUGCAGAGGAGCAUCACCAAAAUGAACCAAAGGAUGGAAUGCCUCUCCUACAAGGUCAGGCUGAAAGACCUGAGGCUGUCAGUGUCUAAAGGGGAGCUAUAGGAAAGAAGGGGGCUGACUCUUUAGUAGGGUCUGUGGUGAUAGGACAAGGGGAAAUGGUUUCAAACUUAGAAGAAGAAGAAAGAAGAAGGGCAAAUCCUCAGAACGUCACAGAAUCCACAGUGGUGACUUACUUUUCUCUCAUUUUUUCUCUCCUUUUCUUCUCUUUUUCCUUGCUUACUCAUCUUUUAAUAAAUAAAGGUACAUUUUUGAUCGAUCAACAUCUUGACUUGAUUCCGAGUCUUAAUUCAGAAACUUUGGGAUUAACGGAACAAACUGCAAGCCACUUCAGCUUGCAAAAGCCAGCAUGAGUGCAUGUGACUCAUAUACAGAGGUUUGGAAAUUGCAUGGAGUGUCAGAAGUCCUGUGUUCAUGUAUUUGUGUUUUUAGAUGUUUAUCUUGACUUGUAAUUUCUUCAUUCCAUCUAUCCAGAAGAACUGUUUUUCAGUAGGUUCUUGCUUGCAAGUGCUCUUCUGUUGAUUAAUAGUAGAGAAAUCUGGUAUUUUUACAGGUGACUUCCACCACACUGUCCUGAGCAAUGAAUAGUCUACAGAGGGAGCUGUUACUUCUUUUCCAAAAGGAGCAGGAUUUGCAUUCCAGCCAGGAAUCGUGCUGAGCACAGGGAGCUCAUCUCUUGUAAUGGUUUUUAUGUUCUUUGAGGAUCUUGUGUUACCUUGCAGUUACUUGGCCUAGUGGCUGGCAACCCUGCUUAUGGCAGGGGGGUUGGUACUUGAUGAUCUUUGAGGUUUCUUCCAGCCCUAGCUGUUCUGUGAUUCUAUGAUUUAUGACUGCAACAUUGUAUUGCACCUACAGUUUCCCAGUGGUCAAAUGAGCAGAAGGGAGAAUGCAAGUCAAAGAAAUACAAUUACUUGCAUUAUUAUUAUUGAGUUAGCCAAGAACGCGUUUCCCUCUACACCUUUGGAGUUUUGUACUGCAAAGAGAGGAAACAGUGGACAAAUACCUGCUGCUAGGAGAUUUCAGGUGAAAUAGAAUAGACAUGGUAAGACAGGGUAGCAUAGAAAAAGCAAAUCACAAAUUUUGGGACAACAGGCAACUGGAAAACUUUUUUUCACCCAGAGAUUUUGUUCUGAUAAGGAAAGAGAAAUUUUACUAAUUUCCAGAUUAUUAUAUUUCUCCUGACACAAGUGUACUUGUGUCAGACUCCAAUAUCAGUUUAUCCCUUAGUCUGGGAUUGCAGUUUAUGUAUAGUCAGAGCAGUUACUUGCAGUUGCAAGUGUGGAGGACUGGUAGAAAUGAAGAGAUAAUAAAAGCAAAGAACCACAGCAUGGUGCUUGGGAGGAAGAUCUGGAGAGAAAGUAAUUGACUCAAGUACUGGAGGUUUCAUCUGAAAAUAUUAGAUCAAGGGUUCAGUAGGUUGACGGCAAAUAAGUUGGUAGUGAUUGUUGAUGGGAUUGUUACUGCUGUGCCGCAUGUAAAUAAGCACUACAAAAAACUUUGAUAUACAGAAAAUGGAAACAAGAUCUUGCUUCCAAAAAGAAAGUUACUGUGUCCAUGCAAUAAUUUUAUUUUAAAAUAAUUGAAAUUGUUUUUGUAUCACCUGGUUGAAAGAAGCAGCUUAAUGCAGUUUUAAGGAAUCCAGUUGCAGUUUCAACACAGCAGGAAAUCUCUGAUGUCGUUUACAGAAUGACUUCAAUUACAUAUUUCUGAGUAUGUGAGGCUUGACAUUCAUAGAGGAUGAUAUAUAUGGAGAAUUAAGGGCAAAUUAACAUGAAAAUAUAGACCUUGGUAUACCCAGGUAAGGGGAUGUCUGCCAAGACACGUAUAGAGUUCACAGAGAAAAGGGAAUUAAGUUGGGAUUGUUCCCAACAAGAGUAGGUCUGCUUUUCAGUAAGCACACCUGUAACAGUCAGACCUAGUGAAAAUGGAGGAAAACAAUAGUAUUUUAAGUAGUGUAGUAGAGCGUAAAAACCUGGAGUUUUCAUCUUGGAUUUUCCAGGUUACUUUGGGUGAGUGAUUUUGUCAAUACUAGAGACUGUUCAACUAUCAAAAGAAGAUCCUGUUAGUAGCUCAGAAAGUUGAAAAGACUUAAGAAAUAAUGCCAAACACUUUGCCUGCAUUGUCAAAAUGUUAGUAGCCUUUUCAGAAGAAAAUCUAACAGUUUACCAGAGAACCCUGGUAAAGAAUUAGCAGAUUUUGGUAUUAGAGUAGGCGAAGUUAGCAUGCCUCUGAGCUUGCCUAGUUUACCAUGUGAAGAAUGCAAGAGCUUCGCCUUCCCUAGGAUUUUGCAGUGCAGUGCAUGCUAGACUGUUUUAUUUACCAGCUCUUCAAACAUAACCUCUCAAUCUUAUCCCAGAUAAAUGGCUAGGAAAUGUAAAACAAGUAAAUGCAUCAGGUUGCUUCAAAAGUGGACCAUUCUUCUAAAGGAAGGGAUUUUCUGUUGUUCCCUUAUGAGGAAGAUGCUCCAUUCCCUUUAUCAUCUUUGUGGCUCUGCACCUCUCUCAAGCAGUUCCCUGUCCUUCUUGGACUGAGGGGCCAAGAACUGGACACAAUAUUGCAGAUGAGAUCUCACCAAGGCAGGGUAUAGAGGGAGGAGAACCGCUUUCAACCUACACACCCCUCCUAAUACACUGGAGGAUGGCAUUGGCCUUCUUUGCCACAAGGGCACAGAACUGACUCACGGUCAUGCCCAGGUCUCUUUCCCCUUUGCUACUCUCCAGCAGGUCAGUCCCCAACCUAUACUGUAGGCUGACCUCUUCCACUUGAGUUUGCCCAGCAGUUCUCUGUUUAACCACACAGGUCUCCUGGCUCCCCUUUUUGACUUCCUACCUGUUGGGACGCUCUGAUCUUGAGCAUGAAAGAAGCACUCCUUGAAUGCUAGCCAACUAUAUUGGGCCCCUUUACCUUCAAGUACCCCGUUCCAUGGGAUUUUCCCUAGCAAUUGAUUGAAAAGGCCAUAGUUGGCCUACUGAAGUCCAGGGUUGUGAUUCUGCUUGGUAUUCUGUUCCUGCCACAUGAAAUCCUGAACUCCACCAUCUCAUGGUCACUGCAAUGAAGGCUGCCCUCAACCUUCACUGCUUCAGCCAGAUCCCCCUUGUUAGAGAAGUUGUCCUCGAUACUGUUAAUUCCAGGGUCGUGGGUUUGAGCCCUACAUUGAGUGCCAAAAUAGUGUUGGAGUUUGAAGAGUUAAUCAUGUGACACCCUUCCCUCCCCACUGAAGAGAAAGAAAGAGGGAAAAUCCUGACUGAAAUAGGAGAAUCUAAUUUUUGAGGCCUCUGUAGAUCAACAAGGAACUCCUGGACUUACUUAAGCAUAAAAAGAAAGUCUGGAGGGAGUUGAAAGCAGGAAGGGAAUGGGUUACCUGGGAGGCAGACUUACAAAGAAGUUGUCUGAGCAACCAGGGAUCAAGUUAGGAAAGCUAAAACCCAGAUAAAGUUAAAGCUAGCCAGGGAUGUAAAGGGCGAACAAGAAGAAACUCUACAGAUAUAUCAGUGAUAAAAUGAAGGCCAGGGAAGAUAUUGGUCUUCUCUGUAAGGAAACUGGAGCCCUGGUCACGAGGGAUAUGGAGAAAGAAAGCUGAAGUGCUCCAUGACUUCUUUGCCUCAGUCUUCACAAGCAAGGUCUAUAGCUACAUUGUCCAAGAUGCAAAAAGCAAAGAUAAGAACUUGGAGAAGGAAGAUCUGCCUGCUCUAAAUGAAGAUCUGAUGUUUGAGACCAUCUAAUGAAGGUGCACAAAUCCAUGGGACCAGAUUCCUGUCAGCCGGAACUGGAAAUCAUGUGGAGGCUCCUGGGAAGUGCAGUACACCCCCAUGUAUCUUCCCCUUGGAAGAUAAAGAUCCCAUUGGAUCGUCAGAACUCAUGUGAGUCUGCUGAACAGGAAGCACAGCUCUACAGUAUGCUGUAUCUCUAUACCAAACAGCCUGUCACAUGAUGUUAUGAUAUGGAAUACUGAUAAAACCAGGACAAUAUCUAAAAUAAACGACAAAAUGCAGUUGCUCACUACUCAGCAACUGAUACCCAGCCAGCCCAAGCAAUAGCCAUCCCGCCCUGGCCAACUCCAUCAGCUUUACUGUUCAACAUGAUGCCACACAGUACAGAAUAUCCCUUUGUUCAGUCCUGGUCAGCUGUCCUGGCUGUGUCACCUCCCAGCUUCUUGUCCAGCCCCAGCCUAUUCACUGGCAGGGUAGCAUGAGAAUCUAACAAGCCCUUGACUUAGUGUAAGCAUUGUUCAACAACUACUGAAAUGCCGUUGUAUUAUCAGCAUUGUUUUUUGCCUAAAUCAAAAACAUGGCAUCAUACCAGUCACUCUGAACAAAAUUAACUCUAUUCCAGCUGAAAACAGGACAAGGAGUUUUCAUACAAUCAUAGAAAUACUUGGGUUAGAAAGGACCUCAAAGAUCAUCUAGUUCCAACCCCCCUGCCACAGGCAGAAUUGCCAAUUGCUAGAUCAGAUUGCAUGGCCUUGAACACCUCCACGGUGUUUCCUUGAGGACCUCAGAGAUAACCUUUUAAAAGUUAGCCAAAAAACUCUAGAAAGCCUACUGAUGUUCUCAGCUAUACCCUCAGCAGAUGGAAAUAAAAAGAGAUUGAGGGAAAGCUGAUUGUCACUGCCUUGUCUAUGCUAUCAUCUAUAAAAAAGUGAAACACAUUGGUCAUGCAUAAACCCUAGCAAUUAGUCUGGCAGAACCA